This 71-nucleotide transfer RNA is filed under the name Marmota monax (woodchuck). Its description in RNAcentral is "tRNA.Ala". It matches the Rfam family "tRNA". From Rfam's summary of the family: Transfer RNA (tRNA) molecules are approximately 80 nucleotides in length. Lineage: Eukaryota; Metazoa; Chordata; Mammalia; Rodentia; Sciuridae. The record is from RNAcentral.
GAGGUUGUAGCUCAGUGGUGGAGCACUUGCCUGGCAUGCAUGAGGCACGGGGUUCGAUCCUCAGCACCACA